UUGGGAUGUGGUUGAGUACUUACAUUCUUGUGUUAAGGUGUGGCAUAUUACUGAAGUCUGCCACUACCUCCCACACACCUCUCGGAUCCUCACCAGGGAUGAAUAAUUCGUACUCCUGUAAUUGCUUUCCCUUUUUGACGAAGAGGAAUAUCACUAAGAGACAACCUAAGAAUAUAGAUACGUGCGCAAGUAUCAAGCAGAUCCAGCAGUCACUUAGGAAAGAACUGGUGUCUUCCGUGGUAGUGAUGUGUGUGGAAACUUAAUUAGGAGGUGGAGUGAGUGUAAUGUAUAAUAUAAUAGUGAGGUAGCCGGUGCUGUGUUGAGUGUAUGUACACCAGCAGGCCUACCAGGCCUACUUUACUGCUCUUCUAGCACCAUCACUUGUGGUGCCGCCCUCAUCCUCACCAGGGCUGGGUAAUCUAAUAAGGAGGAAGACUGUGAAGUGAGAGAGUGAGAGAGAGAGAGUGAGAGAGUGAGUGUGUGUGUGUGGUAGCAGCGGCUCCCGCACCUCAGUCUCUCACUGGCACCACCCUGUGGCACUCGACUCCAGUGGCACCACCCUGUGGCACUCGACUCCAGUGGUAGCUGAGAGUGGCACCAACAUGGCUAACACUUCCAGUACUCGUAUGCUGCUGGUCACAGCAAAUAUCGCGUCCUGCUUUGAACAGAAGUGGGCUGAUAUAACAUUCAACUUAACUUCCAACUGCAACAUCCCCACCCCUCUAGAGUGCAG
Molecule: non-coding RNA, 733 nt
Organism: Cherax quadricarinatus
Lineage: Eukaryota; Metazoa; Arthropoda; Malacostraca; Decapoda; Parastacidae
Source: RefSeq, a predicted model, not a curated record